CUACGGGUCGCACCAGGCGCGAGACCUCCGCAAUGCGCGAAAGCGUGACGGGGGGAUUCUGAGUGCUCAAGGUUUCCUUGGGCUUUUUGUAAGAGUAAAAAUCUUACAGAAUAAGUGGUGGGCAAGACUGGUGCCAGCCGCCGCGGUAACCCCAGCGCCACAAGUGGGAACCACUAUUAUUGGGUCUAAAGCAUCCGUAGCCGGUCUAGCAAAUUUCCUGUGAAAUCAUCUUGCUUAACAGGAUGGCGUGCAGGAAAGACUACUUGACUUGGGACCAGGAGAGGUCAACAGUAUUCCUAGGGGAGCGGUAAAAUGCUAUAAUCCUAGGAGGACUACCGAUGGCGAAGGCAGUUGACCAGAAUGGAUCCGACGGUGAGGGAUGAAAGCUAGGGGAGCAAAACGGAUUAGAUACCCCAGUAGUC
Molecule: ribosomal RNA, 422 nt
Filed under: uncultured archaeon
Lineage: Archaea
Description: partial 16S ribosomal RNA
Rfam family: Archaeal small subunit ribosomal RNA
Source: RNAcentral